GAUGAACGCUGGCGGCGUGCCUAAUACAUGCAAGUCGAGCGAAUGGAUUAAGAGCUUGCUCUUAUGAAGUUAGCGGCGGACGGGUGAGUAACACGUGGGUAACCUGCCCAUAAGACUGGGAUAACUCCGGGAAACCGGGGCUAAUACCGGAUAACAUUUUGAACAGCAUGGUUCGAAAUUGAAAGGCGACUUCGGCUGUCACUUAUGGAUGGACCCGCGUAGCAUUAGCUAGUUGGUGAGGUAACGGCGCACCAAGGCAACGAUGCGUAGCCGACCUGAGAGGGUGAUCGGCCACACUGGGACUGGGACACGGCCCAGACUCCUACGGGAGGCAGCAGUAGGGAAUCUUCCGCAAUGGACGAAAGUCUGACGGAGCAACGCCGCGUGAGUGAUGAAGGCUUUCGGGUCGUAAAACUCUGUUGUUAGGGAAGAACAAGUGCUAGUUGAAUAAGCUGGCACCUUGACGGUACCUAACCAGAAAGCCACGGCUAACUACGUGCCAGCCGCCGCUGUAA
This 515-nucleotide ribosomal RNA is filed under the name uncultured bacterium. Its description in RNAcentral is "partial 16S ribosomal RNA". It matches the Rfam family "Bacterial small subunit ribosomal RNA", at positions 28 to 523 of the family's 1533-position model. The record is from RNAcentral.